CUUCAGAGGACACAAUACCAAAGCUCCAAACAGUUGCAGAUCGGGGUAACGCAAGCACGGAUAUAAAGAUGAGGAUAAGGAAUGAAUUCAGUAGGUAAAGCAGAGAAUAAAUUCUUCGUUAUGAACUGCUUAGAAAGUCACUGUAAGGGUGAGCUGCAUCAUUACACAACUCAGCAAAGGCAGGUGCUACAAUUACCUCGUCUAAAAAAUCGUGCAAGAGCUCUUUUGCAAGGAGAGAAAGCAUCUGGGAUCUUUCCUCUUCUACAGUAAUCUCAUUUGCUGUGAAACAAAUGAAUUCAGGUCCCUGAAUUUUCCUCAAAGACCAUCUCUAAGUACCGGCCAGCUGAUCUGCAGCAAUCUAGAGGGUGGG
This 370-nucleotide long non-coding RNA is filed under the name Calidris pugnax (ruff). RNAcentral's name for it is "lncRNA (ENSCPUG00000009353.1)". The record is from RNAcentral. Lineage: Eukaryota; Metazoa; Chordata; Aves; Charadriiformes; Scolopacidae.